This 468-nucleotide ribosomal RNA is filed under the name uncultured bacterium. RNAcentral describes it as "partial 16S ribosomal RNA". It matches the Rfam family "Bacterial small subunit ribosomal RNA", at positions 28 to 507 of the family's 1533-position model. The record is from RNAcentral.
GACGAACGCUGGCGGCGUGCUUAACACAUGCAAGUCGAACGGAAAGGCCCUGCUUUUGUGGGGUGCUCGAGUGGCGAACGGGUGAGUAACACGUGAGUAACCUGCCCUUGACUUUGGGAUAACUUCAGGAAACUGGGGCUAAUACCGGAUAGGAGCUCUUGCUGCAUGGUGGGGGUUGGAAAGUUUCGGCGGUUGGGGAUGGACUCGCGGCUUAUCAGCUUGUUGGUGGGGUAGUGGCUUACCAAGGCUUUGACGGGUAGCCGGCCUGAGAGGGUGACCGGCCACAUUGGGACUGAGAUACGGCCCAGACUCCUACGGGAGGCAGCAGUGGGGAAUAUUGCACAAUGGGCGGAAGCCUGAUGCAGCAACGCCGCGUGCGGGAUGCCGGCCUUCGGGUUGUAAACCGCUUUCGCCUGUGCCGAAGCGUGAGUGACGGUAAUGGGUAAAGAAGCACCGGCUAACUACGUG